CCUACGGGUGGCAGCAGUGGGGAAUAUUGGGCAAUGGGGGGAACCCUGACCCAGCAACGCCGCGUGAGUGAAGAAGUCUUUCGGUAUGUAAACCUCUAUCAGCAGGGACGAAGGAAAUGACGGUACCUGACUAAGAAGCCACGGCUAACUACGUGCCAGCAGCCGCGGUAAUACGUAGGGGGCAAGCGUUAUCCGGAUUUACUGGGUGUAAAGGGGGCGUAGGCGGUUACGCAAGUCUGGUGUGAAAGGCGGGGGCCCAACCCCCGGACUGCUUUUGAAACUGUAUAACUGGAGUGCAGGAGAGGCAAGUGGAAUUCCUAGUGUAGCGGUGAAAUGCGUAGAUAUUAGGAGGAACACCAGUGGCGAAGGCGGCUUACUGGACUGUAACUGACGUUGAGGCGCGAAAGCGUGGGGAGCAAACAGGAUUAGAUACCCGGGUAGUC
RNAcentral lists this ribosomal RNA (443 nucleotides) under uncultured bacterium. RNAcentral's name for it is "partial 16S ribosomal RNA". It matches the Rfam family "Bacterial small subunit ribosomal RNA", at positions 338 to 795 of the family's 1533-position model. The record is from RNAcentral.